UACAGAGGGGGCAAGCGUUAUUCGGAAUUAUUGGGCGUAAAGGGCGCGUAGGCGGCCAUUCAAGUGACGGGUGAAAGCCCUCGGCUUAACCGAGGAACUGCCUGUCAGACUGGAUGGCUUGAGACCGGGAGAGGUGAGUGGAAUUCCCAGUAUAGCGGUGAAAUGCGUAGAUACUGGGAGGAACACCAGUGGCGAAGGCGGCUCACUGGACCGGAACUGACGCUGAGGCGCGAAAGCGUGGGGAGCAAACAGG
RNAcentral lists this ribosomal RNA (253 nucleotides) under uncultured bacterium. Its description in RNAcentral is "partial 16S ribosomal RNA". It matches the Rfam family "Bacterial small subunit ribosomal RNA", at positions 524 to 776 of the family's 1533-position model. The record is from RNAcentral.